Long non-coding RNA from Pteropus alecto (black flying fox), 2010 nucleotides. RefSeq lists it as uncharacterized. The record is from RefSeq and is a predicted model, not a curated record. The transcript is spliced from 4 exons. Lineage: Eukaryota; Metazoa; Chordata; Mammalia; Chiroptera; Pteropodidae.
AGGAGACAGGGUUCAAGUGAUUUUCAAGAAAGGAGUUAUUCCAGAUACCAAAUAACUACUGUUUACAUGAUGCUCUGUUAGCUUAUUUAAUUCUCAUGUUGACGUUUUGAAGUGAGUACUGUUCACGUGAUAUGGAUGAAGAAACUUUACGAAGGCUACCGCUCUGGCACAGAAGACUUCACUGAUUUGUCCAGGGUCGCAGAGCUGGGAAGCGAUGGAGCUGAGGUUUGAACCUAGGCAGGUUCAAAUCAGUCUGCUCUUCUAUGUGCCACCAAGAGGUCAGAUAAAUGAGUACCCAAAAAGGUACUUUGAAUUUAACAAAUAGGAACUUAAUCAUACAGGCAGAGGUAAUUCCAGAGACGUGGGGAUAGACGUCGGAUCACAGUGGGUUAAGAUCGUGUGAAUUACCAGGAAGUGAAAAUGUAGAGCUACUCUUACAAGUAGUUUUUCUAGUUGUUGUAACACGGUUUCCUUAUGUGCUUUAAUAAAUUUCAUGGAUGUUAAAAUGUAGCAAAAUUUAGCAAAUUAUAUAUACAUCUGUUCAUUUAAAUGUCUAACAGUGGUUCUUAAGCUUUUUGGAAAACCUUUAAAAAUCUGAUAAAGGGUCUGUGUCUUUACCCAGAAAAACAUUCAAGCGUACACACGUAUCAAGUGUCACACUCUCUGCCAGGGAAUCCAAGAACUCCACGUAGCCUGCUCAUGACCUCGUGGCCCAUGGUCCCCCACUUAAGAUCCCCAGAUAUGUAGGAGGUAGAACUCAAAGGUGAACACGAUAAUGUAAAAUGGACAUUGCUGAAGAAGGAUGGAGAUGUACGAGAAGCUGCAACAGAGACAAAUCACUGGCAUCACGUGCCGCAGUGGUUUGUGGAAGUAAAGGGAGAAAGCACUAAACGGGGGAGUCAGGAGACUUGGCUUCUCGACCCAGCUUGCCCCUCUGCAGCUGCGAGACCUGAGCUCCGUUCCUGCCUGCGAAAUGGGAACAGUCAUAGCGUCGCCUUCAUCAUGUCGUCACGAAGGUUUCACGAGAUGACGCGUGGGAUGCACUUGGCACGAUGAGAAGCUCGGCAAAUGUUAGGUUAGGAAUCGUUAGCAGUCCCAGAAGACAUUCCUCGUUCCCUUUUUACAGAUGAGAAAAUUCAGGUUCACAGCGGUUGAAGGCUGCAGAGGUCCUCAGCAAAUAAUACAGCUCUGUUUAAGGAGUAAAGAGGGCAAAGUGCCAUGAGAAGUUUGAAGAGUACAAGACAGGUGGUUCCAAAGAAAAGACUUCCUGGAAGCUAAUAAAGCCCAUAGCAUGCGGAAGCACAUCGCCAUGGACGAGGUCGCGGGCACCUCGUCCCGCCGGCCUCGGAGCACUGGUGUCCGAGGGACCGUGUGGUCUGAGCACCCAAACAUCUUCAAACGGAGCACUGCUUCCCCCUCGCAGCAGAAAGCAGUGCAGCGCAACGCCAUGAGCAAAGGUCUUGGAGAAAGACAUUCCAACGCCGUCACUGCCCCUGGCCGACUGACCCUGGACAAGGCCCCUCACCGCCUUCUCCCGCCCUCCUCCCAGGAAUUAGCUCUCUAUAUCCAAAUGGAGUUGGACUAGGUGACUUUGGAGGUGUCUUCACGCUCUGCAGCAGUUUGAAGAUAAAGUUGGUAGUUUUCUGCAUGAGGUGAAGUCACACUUUGAGGCCCACUGGACCAAAAAUAUCAGCAUAUUACCAGGCGUUCCGUGGUGCGUGACAGCCCCUCCUCAGACACUGUGUCUUCGUGUGUGGCUUUCCAACCUGCCAGGAACUUACUGGCACACAGCCACUCCGGGGCUCAGUUAUGUCCAUUGUACAUGUAGAGUGAGACGGAGAGUUAUAAAAGGUUAUAUACGUGUUACAUAUAUCUGCAAAUAAAUCGGAAUAUAUGUGUAUAUACACAGAAGAACUGAGAGAUGCCCACCAUACUUUUAACGUUGAUUUUUCCUAGAGAGUAGAAGAAUGGAGAUGAGGGUAGGGUUUUGCCAUAUUUUGAAUUCUUCUA